Long non-coding RNA from Brassica napus (rape), 2630 nucleotides. RefSeq lists it as uncharacterized. The transcript is spliced from 2 exons. Lineage: Eukaryota; Viridiplantae; Streptophyta; Magnoliopsida; Brassicales; Brassicaceae. The record is from RefSeq and is a predicted model, not a curated record.
UAAAAUAUCAUAAUUUAUUGAUAAAUAAAAAUUUAUAUAUUCUUAAAAGAUUAUAGCAUUUAAUAUAUUAUUAUACAACAUAUAUAUGAUUUUACCUUGUUUAUUAUUAUUAUAAUAUUUAAAAUUUAAACAAUUAUUGCGGCUUCUAAGAAUUUAAGAUCAAAAUAGGGAACUCUCUCUCUUCUCUUUUAGAGAGAGGAUAUUUUCUCUAUCAUCCUUCUUAACCGUGAUAUAUCUUUCAGAAGUAAUAGAGAGAAAGAGAGAGAUUUUUCUUUUAGAUGUGUAUAUUUUUUAUCUUAGAUCGAAUCUAAACUUUCACUAGGCGAAUCAGUUUUCGUUAGGCGAGUUUAUUUUGCUGUGUUUAUUUCCUUUUGGCGAUCUUUUUGUUUUGUGCAUAAUCAGAUUUGUUCUUCAAAUUUUCUUUCUUUUUUUUUUUGGAUUGAACCAAAUAAAUCUGCUUUUUACUUGGAGUUUCGUUCUAAUCCCGUGUGAUUCCAAUACAGUUUCUUUUUUUUUCCACCGUUUAAUUCAACAGAUUUCUAGGAGAAUCAGACUUCUCUAUGUGUUUAGCCAUUUAUGGCGUUGUGAAGCAUCUCCAAAGGAAGAAGGUUGGGUUAGAUGGAUUCCCCGAUUCGUUAUUUGAAGUGGAUUAAGAAGAACAUGCGUUUUGUAACGAUCAUCGGUUGAAGUGGAAGUCAAACUAGGAGAGCGCAAGAUUGAAGGUCUAAAGCUCGAAGUUGUACGAAGUUACACCGGUGAUUCGAGCUUUCCAUCCCCUGUGGUGGCGCGUAUAGUUGCGUCUCUAGAAACUCGAGUUGAAUGAGAGAGAGGACGCAUGUCCUGGAAGUGUUGCAUGGAGGACGAAUGGACUGUGUGUACUAAGGCAUGUUCGAAACUACGCUAGGCGCUAGUCGGGCGGACGAUAUGAGCCUAGCGAGUUAACAAUUAAUGGGAGAUUAAUCGGGGCCUAGUUUUUAAUUUUUUUUUAUAAAUAUAUUAUGCAUCAUUAGUUAGUUUUCAUAACAAUAGACAAUUAGUUGAAGGAGCCUGGUGGUUUCAUAAUCUUUGCUCAGCGUAAGAACCCGGGUUCGACCCUGGAUCCAUGCGUUUUUCUUCUUCUUUUUCUUUUUUUUUGCCUUUAAUGAAGGGCACUAUCGUCAUUUCAUCUUCAUCUUCCCCAUCUGUCUUUAGGGUUUUCAAUUUUACAGUUUUUCCAUGGCCGUAAAACGUUUAUAAUCACACAUAUCAUCAGAUUUUGGUGCGUUUUUAUGUUUUUAUACUUAAAACCUAUAUAUUUGUCAUAAAAAUACAAGAUUUUAAGCAUUCAAAACCCAAAAAGAAAAAAAAUUUAUUGUUGCCGAUUAAUUGGCCGACUACAGCCAACUCGCCACGGCCAAGCACUGCCGAGCGCCUCUUCGCCGACUAAUCGUCCGUAGUACCCGCAUUUUCGAACAGGGGUACUAAGAGAUUAAUUGAACUAGUUCAAUGUGAGCUCAAUUUACGUUGGGCUUUUAUUUUCAAGUUUUGUAAUGGGAUGGGAUUGGAGCUUUUAAUUUCCUUGUACUCUUUGGGAUUUCUUUCAAUAAAAUGAAAGAAAAGUUGACAAAAAAAAUUUAGGGAAUUUGCGGUAGAUGGCUAUAAAACAAACUAUAAUUAGCUAUAUAGCAAUGGUAUUGUUUCUUUUUCAUAAUACCCGUUAUAUCCCUGUUUCUUUGUCUGCCAACUUGUACUCUAGUAACCGGAAGACCUGCAUCUUGAUAAAUAUAUUUUAUUUUUAAUAAAUUAACAGAUAAUAAAAGAAAAGGACAAAAAUAAAAUCUCCCCAUCACCUUCUUCGUUAUUCUCUACCUCUUUCCAUCUCUCACUGAUUUGAUCUUCUUCUUCUUCUUAUUUUCAGUUGAAGUUUUAAUUAAUCAUAUCAUAUCAUUUCAAGUUUCUUUGACUUCGAUAUUGAAAAGAACACAAACUGAUCCCCAAAUCUCCAGAAAAUUUCUGACCAACAAAACUCAUAAAAUUUUCAACAAAUCCUUUCUUCUUCUCUGCUUCUUCUUCACCACAACGUCCUUCACCCACCAAGUCACCACCAGCCAACUUUCCCGAACUCGAGCCCAACUCAGUGAGUCGACUCGACGCGACCGAGUUUACUCAAAUGGAUGGUUUUCCCGAUCGCUUCCUCCGGUCUUUCUUCCUCUUCUUCAUCUCCAAGCUGUCUUCCAAGGCGCCGAUGAUCUCGUGAAGGAGUUUGCUAAUCCUACCUAACCCAGUAACUCGUGUAGCUGCUGAAGAAAUCACCGAGAUAGAGAGGAGAGUGAUGAUCAUCUUCUUUGGGUUUUUCUUUCUUGAAGCGAGAGAUACGAUUUGGGUCACCGGAAUGGGAGAUGAGGUAAGCAAGAACUUCACGGUCAUCCAUUGAGGUUUUCUGUCCAUCCUUGAGUAAAUAUCUCAUUGCUUUUAUGAUUUUGGUUUUAUUAACUUUGUGUCCUAAUGCAUAAAAGUCUCACCUUUGUGAUUCUUGAUUCUCAGUUCUUGUUUGAUUGUGCUUAUCAAAGUUUGGAUUUUUUUUUCUUUCUUAAUCUUAUGUACAAGAAUAAGUGAAUAUUGGCACAACAAGACAACAACAUUUCUUUUAA